RNAcentral lists this signal recognition particle RNA (96 nucleotides) under Rhodospirillaceae bacterium. RNAcentral's name for it is "signal recognition particle sRNA small type". It matches the Rfam family "Bacterial small signal recognition particle RNA". Rfam says of the family: The signal recognition particle (SRP) is a universally conserved ribonucleoprotein involved in the co-translational targeting of proteins to membranes. Archaeal SRP consists of a 7S RNA and homologues of the eukaryotic SRP19 and SRP54 proteins. RNAcentral also lists the same sequence under 1 other name. The record is from RNAcentral. Lineage: Bacteria; Pseudomonadati; Pseudomonadota; Alphaproteobacteria; Rhodospirillales; Rhodospirillaceae.
GAAGGUUGGCUAUGGGCGGCGUGCUCGCCAACCCGGUCAGGUCCGAGAGGAAGCAGCCGUAACGAGUUUUUCCGGGUCAUAGAUCCAGCCUUCCAC